GGCUGGUCUGAAGGUAAAUGAGUUAUCUCAAUUGGUUGUUCAGUUAGUUAUAGACUGAACACCUUGUUCUACUCAUUCUCGCUUCUAACUAAUACAUGGGACUAGCCUUAA
RNAcentral lists this Y RNA (111 nucleotides) under Carlito syrichta (Philippine tarsier). RNAcentral's name for it is "Y RNA (ENSTSYG00000022500.2)". It matches the Rfam family "Y RNA". From Rfam's summary of the family: Y RNAs are components of the Ro ribonucleoprotein particle (Ro RNP), in association with Ro60 and La proteins. The record is from Rfam by way of RNAcentral. Lineage: Eukaryota; Metazoa; Chordata; Mammalia; Primates; Tarsiidae.